This is a long non-coding RNA of Mauremys mutica (yellowpond turtle), 339 nucleotides long. RefSeq lists it as uncharacterized. The transcript is spliced from 3 exons. The record is from RefSeq and is a predicted model, not a curated record. Lineage: Eukaryota; Metazoa; Chordata; Testudines; Geoemydidae.
AGGCGCCCGCGCUCACUCGCUCUAUUGUUGCGCCUUACGUUGCCAUUAGACAACAUUUGACAACAAUGUGGCGCCUGCUAUUGGCCAGGGGAGGAACGAGCCCUUUUGAUUGGCCACUGGCUUGUCUACAGUGUCCGCCCGAAGCUGCUCUCAAAUAAACUGGGCUUUAAGGAAACUAGGAGGGUCCUGCUAAGGGAGUGCAUUUUACCAGUACAGCUGCAAUAGGUGGUAUUUGAGAGUUUGCCAUGGAGCUGCUAAGGCACCGCGAUGAAGGGUUUUCUCUAUACUGGCCAUGAGGAUGAUCCAGCGAUACGUGUGAAGGGAGGACUGCGGUGCGCU